RNAcentral lists this ribosomal RNA (484 nucleotides) under uncultured Sphingobacteriales bacterium. RNAcentral describes it as "bacterial SSU rRNA". It matches the Rfam family "Bacterial small subunit ribosomal RNA", at positions 897 to 1382 of the family's 1533-position model. Lineage: Bacteria; Pseudomonadati; Bacteroidota; Sphingobacteriia; Sphingobacteriales. The record is from RNAcentral.
GAACUUAAAGGAAUUGACGGGGCCCGCACAAGCGGAGGAGCAUGUGGUUUAAUUCGAUGAUACGCGAGGAACCUUACCUGGGCUCGAACGUAAGAUGACUGUAGGUGAAAGCUUACAUCUCUUCGGAGCAUUUUACGAGGUGCUGCAUGGUUGUCGUCAGCUCGUGCCGUGAGGUGUCGGGUUAAGUCCCAUAACGAGCGCAACCCCUACCUUUAGUUGCCAUCAGGUUAAGCUGGGGACUCUAAAGGAACUGCCUACGCAAGUAGUGAGGAAGGCGGGGAUGACGUCAAAUCAGCACGGCCCUUACGUCCAGGGCUACACACGUGCUACAAUGGCCGAUACAGAGGGCAGCUACCUGGUGACAGGAUGCAAAUCUCCAAAGUCGGUCUCAGUUCGGAUCGGAGUCUGCAACCCGACUCCGUGAAGUUGGAUUCGCUAGUAAUCGCGCAUCAGCCAUGGCGCGGUGAAUACGUUCCCGGGCCUU